UACGGAGGAUCCAAGCGUUAAUCGGAAUUACUGGGCGUAAAGCGUGCGCAGGCGGUUUUGUAAGUCUGUCGUGAAAGCCCCGGGCUCAACCUGGGAAUUGCGAUGGAGACUGCAAGGCUUGAAUCUGGCAGAGGGGGGUAGAAUUCCACGUGUAGCAGUGAAAUGCGUAGAGAUGUGGAGGAACACCGAUGGCGAAGGCAGCCCCCUGGGUCAAGAUUGACGCUCAUGCACGAAAGCGUGGGGAGCAAACAGG
RNAcentral lists this ribosomal RNA (253 nucleotides) under uncultured bacterium. Its description in RNAcentral is "partial 16S ribosomal RNA". It matches the Rfam family "Bacterial small subunit ribosomal RNA", at positions 524 to 776 of the family's 1533-position model. The record is from RNAcentral.